This 252-nucleotide ribosomal RNA is filed under the name uncultured bacterium. Its description in RNAcentral is "partial 16S ribosomal RNA". It matches the Rfam family "Bacterial small subunit ribosomal RNA", at positions 334 to 583 of the family's 1533-position model. The record is from RNAcentral.
AUUGCCUACGGGGGGCAGCAGUGAGGAAUAUUGGUCAAUGGGAGAGAUCCUGAACCAGCCAAGCCGCGUGAGGGAAGACGGCCCUAUGGGUUGUAAACCUCUUUUGUCGGAGAACAAAACCCGGGACGAGUCCCGGACUGCGUGUAUCCGAAGAAAAAGCAUCGGCUAACUCCGUGCCAGCAGCCGCGGUAAUACGGAGGAUGCGAGCGUUAAUCGGAAUUACUGGGUGUAAAGGGUGCGCAGGCGGGUGAG